ACACGUAGGGGGCGAGCGUUGUUCGGAAUUAUUGGGCGUAAAGGGUGCGCAGGCUGCAUAGCUAGUCUGAUGUAAAAUGCCUCGGCUUAACCGAGGUCUGCCAUUGGAAACUGUUAUGCUAGAGUACAGGAGGGGGAGUUGGAAUUCCAGGUGUAGGGGUGAAAUCUGUAGAUAUCUGGAGGAACAUCGGUGGCGAAGGCGAACUUCUGGCCAUGUACUGACGCUGAGGCACGAAGGCGUGGGGAGCAAACAGGUUUAGAUACCCUGGUAGUCCACGCAGUAAACGAUGUACACUAGGUGGUGGGAGUUACUCUCAGUACCGUAGCUAACGCAUUAAGUGUACCGCCUGGGGAGUAUGCUCGCAAGGGUGAA
This 372-nucleotide ribosomal RNA is filed under the name uncultured bacterium. Its description in RNAcentral is "bacterial SSU rRNA". It matches the Rfam family "Bacterial small subunit ribosomal RNA", at positions 523 to 898 of the family's 1533-position model. The record is from RNAcentral.